GACGAACGCUGGCGGCGUGCUUAACACAUGCCAGUCGAACGGAAAGGCCCUGCUUGCCGGGUACUCGAGUGGCGAACGGGUGAGUAACACGUGGGUGAUCUGCCCCGCACUUCGGGAUAAGCCUGGGAAACUGGGUCUAAUACCGGAUAGGAGCCAUUUUUAGUGUGAUGGUUGGAAAGUUUUUUCGGUGUAGGAUGAGCUCGCGGCCUAUCAGCUUGUUGGUGGGGUAAUGGCCUACCAAGGCGGCGACGGGUAGCCGGCCUGAGAGGGUGGACGGCCACAUUGGGACUGAGAUACGGCCCAGACUCCUACGGGAGGCAGCAGUGGGGAAUAUUGCACAAUGGGCGCAAGCCUGAUGCAGCGACGCCGCGUGGGGGAUGACGGCCUUCGGGUUGUAAACUCCUUUCGCUAGGGACGAAGCUUUUUGUGACGGUACCUAGAUAAGAAGCACCGGCUAACUACGUG
RNAcentral lists this ribosomal RNA (465 nucleotides) under uncultured bacterium. Its description in RNAcentral is "partial 16S ribosomal RNA". It matches the Rfam family "Bacterial small subunit ribosomal RNA", at positions 28 to 507 of the family's 1533-position model. The record is from RNAcentral.